UUUCUAAAAUGAGUAAUAUUUUCAUUAUUAUUGAUUUUUUAUAAGUGAUAUAAAUGAUCAUAUUUAAGAAAACAUUUUCAAAAUUAAUCAUAAUCGUGAAACAAACGAAGCCCUUAUAUUAUAAAAUUAAUUUUUGUGACAUUCGUGUCUCACCCAUAUUGGCUCAAUCUUGGGUCACCAUCGGUGGGACUUUUUUAUUAAGUACUUUGGUUUUAUCUAUUGCGAGAACACUUCAUAUUCUCAAAAAUAUAUAAAAAUCGACGGAUAGUUCUAUGUCUGUAUUUUUAUAAUUUUUUUUCACACCCUAGAAAUAAAUGAAAGUUAAUUUCCAAAAGCAUAUUCAAUCUCUACUUCUAGAAAAUUAUGUCGUGAUUCAGCUUGAUUGCCCUUAAAAAUGGUAAAUUGAGUUGGAGAAAGUGAAGUUCAUGCAUAAUAUGUCACAAAAGGAAGUGUGUGACUUUUUUGUUGUACCGAAAUUAGAACCGCCAUUGUGAGUUAGUCGAGCUGGAUUUUCGAUGUAUCAAAUUGGAUUACCUAUGAUUGCUCGUCACUAGGAUGAUAGUUUAAGAAUUUAAUACUGAUAUGGUGAGCUGAACUACAAUUACAUGAAAGCUUUUUUUUUCUAUCAAAUCUUUGCAAAAGUUACAUAAAAUUAUUCUAAGUCCUGGAAC
This 671-nucleotide long non-coding RNA is filed under the name Eucalyptus grandis. RNAcentral describes it as "long non-coding RNA (EGRA_LNC004867)". The record is from RNAcentral. Lineage: Eukaryota; Viridiplantae; Streptophyta; Magnoliopsida; Myrtales; Myrtaceae.